RNAcentral lists this microRNA precursor (52 nucleotides) under Camelus bactrianus (Bactrian camel). Its description in RNAcentral is "mir-1302 microRNA precursor family". It matches the Rfam family "mir-1302 microRNA precursor family". Lineage: Eukaryota; Metazoa; Chordata; Mammalia; Artiodactyla; Camelidae. The record is from Rfam by way of RNAcentral. RNAcentral also lists the same sequence under 1 other name.
UUUUUAGUAUAAGUAUGACUCAUACAAUAUUUGGGAUAUACUUAUACUAAAA